CAAAGACAUGGAUAAUCAGACAUGCCAGAAGAGCAGAUGUACUAAUAAAGAAUCUGUUUUGACAUGAAAUGGAUAUAUCCAUAUAUCUCUGACUCAUAUUUACGAGAUGAUUAAAUAUGGCAAAAGCUAUACCAAAAAUUAGUUCGCGUAGGAAUGGACGUAUUGGUUCACGUAAGGGUGCACGUAGAAUACCAAAGGG
This 199-nucleotide long non-coding RNA is filed under the name Nicotiana benthamiana. RNAcentral's name for it is "long non-coding RNA (NBEN_LNC023811)". The record is from RNAcentral. Lineage: Eukaryota; Viridiplantae; Streptophyta; Magnoliopsida; Solanales; Solanaceae.